RNAcentral lists this ribosomal RNA (447 nucleotides) under Clostridioides difficile. Its description in RNAcentral is "bacterial SSU rRNA". It matches the Rfam family "Bacterial small subunit ribosomal RNA", at positions 372 to 841 of the family's 1533-position model. The record is from RNAcentral. Lineage: Bacteria; Bacillati; Bacillota; Clostridia; Peptostreptococcales; Peptostreptococcaceae.
UGGAGAAGAGACAGAUGCAGCAACGCCGCGGGAUGGAGGAAGGCCUUCGGGUCGUAAAACUAGGGCCUAAAGGAAGAUAAUGACGGUACUUGAAGCGGAAGACCCGGCUAACUACGUGCCAGCAGCUGCGGUAAGACGUAGGGGGCUAGCGUUAUCCGGAUUUACUGGGCGUAAAGGGGGCGUAGGCGGUCUUUCAAGUCAGGAGUGAAAGGCUACGGCUCAACCGUAGUAAGCUCUUGAAACUGUGAGUCUUGAGUGCAGGAGAGGAGAGUGGAAUUCCUAGUGUAGCGGUGAAAUGCGUAGAUAUUAGGAGGAACACCAGUUGCGAAGGCGGCUCUCUGGACUGUAACUGACGCUGAGGCACGAAAGCGUGGGGAGCAAACAGGAUUAGAUACCCUGGUAGUCCACGCUGUAAACGAUGAGUACUAGGUGUCGGGGGUUACCCCC